CCCUGUUAGAUUACAAAGGUCCAACCACAACAACCAUGUCACGGAGCAGUAAAGCCAGCAUCAUCGCAUCUCCGACAAAUAGAUCAGUAGAUGGAAGAGGCAGAAUAAAGAGGGAGCGGAACAAGCUUAGUUCAACGUACCUAGCAGAUCACAGAAGGAACCCGACUGCUCGGAUGAGAAGAAAGCUGAGAAGGUAAGGAGGACGACGCCACUGAGCAGUGCUCCCUUCCUGGAAUGAGCUCUGUGAAAACUCAACUUUCCAUCUCCUUCAAAGGAGAGAGAGAGAGAGAGAGAGAGAGAGAGCACAGCUUUUUUGAAGCCUGUGUUGGAUUAAAUUAUGGCUGCUGCAUGACUAACCAUCCCCAGUACCCAACUUGCUUAGAUUUUAUAUGACCAUUUGAGAGAUGCGCUGUUGGAUUUGUUUUGCUUUCAAGGAUUGACCAUUGACUUUUUAGUGUCCACAGGAGGUAGGCGUUUCUUCCUUGCCAAAGAAAAGGAUGAUUUCAGCUCCAAGCAUACGUAAUCAGAUAAGUCCUUUUGACUAUAUAUAUAUAUAGUAUACAGCAUGAGUAUAUGUAUAAUAAGAACUCAUGCAUUCACAUGCCUUUGCUAGCAUUAAAGGAGCUCAUCAACUGGAUUCAAUGAACUAAUUUCAACUGGGCAGCUGCCCCCCUUGACUUUGAAGAGGUCUUAAGUUACUCCCACAGUACAGAAAUGGAGAGCAAACAAGAAGCCAAACCCGUCUUCUCAAUAGGAGAACAAAAAGCUCAUGUGUCUGUGGGACAUGGAACGGAGGUUCCUUGAAGCUUCACGGCUGCGAGCUCUCGUCAAAGAACAGCAGAUCUCUCUCGGGAAAACAACAGAGUAAGACAAGCAGGGAGUUGAAGACCGAGAAAAAGAUUCAACACUGGAUUACAUAUUAUAUUAUGUGGAUUGCUCGGUUCUGCACAUGCAAGCAUCCAAGAAUCGAAAGAGCAUUGCCACUCUUACUGUCUUUUUGACCCAUAUGCGGAGCUUGAAUGCAGAGUCUGCGACCGGUGAGCUCGCUCGCGAGCUUUCAGCGGCGGAAAGGAGAAGUUGACACGUAGCGUGGUCAAAUACCAUGUCUUCUUCGGACUGCAAUCCUGUGAGUACGUGUUGCCGUCCUCUCAUUUUUAGGUUUGUUUGGGGUCAUUCCGCUGCUUCCCAGAAAAACCAAUGGCAUUGUGCGUGUGGGGUGAAGGAGACGGGGGCAGUUGGUAGCUUUCCCCGCUGUUUCUUC
Long non-coding RNA from Musa acuminata subsp. malaccensis (wild Malaysian banana), 1261 nucleotides. RefSeq lists it as uncharacterized. The record is from RefSeq and is a predicted model, not a curated record. NCBI's taxonomy places the organism in Eukaryota, Viridiplantae, Streptophyta, Magnoliopsida, Zingiberales, Musaceae.